UCGCACGAGUUCAGACUCGUGGCGAAUAGCUCAGUAACACGUGGCCAAACUACCCUUCGGAACACAAUACCCUCGGGAAACUGAGGCUAAUAGUGUAUACCAUACCACCACUGGAAUGAGUGGUAUGCCAAACGCUCCGGCGCCGAAGGAUGUGGCUGCGGCCGAUUAGGUAGACGGUGGGGUAACGGCCCACCGUGCCAAUAAUCGGUAUGGGUCAUGAGAGUGAGAACCCAGAGACGGAAUCUGAGACAAGAUUCCGGGCCCUACGGGGCGCAGCAGGCGCGAAACCUUUACACUGCACGACAGUGCGAUAGGGGGAUCCCAAGUGCACAGGCAUAGCGCCUGUGCUUUUCGGUACCCUAAGGCGGUACCAGAAUAAGGGCUGGGCAAGACCGGUGCCAGCCGCCGCGGUAAUACCGGCAGCCCAAGUGAUGGCCGAUCUUAUUGGGCCUAAAGCGUCCGUAGCUGGCCGCGCAAGUCCAUCGGGAAAUCCACCUGCUCAACAGGUGGGCG
Molecule: ribosomal RNA, 513 nt
Filed under: Halorubrum ezzemoulense
Lineage: Archaea; Methanobacteriati; Methanobacteriota; Halobacteria; Halobacteriales; Haloferacaceae
Description: bacterial SSU rRNA
Rfam family: Archaeal small subunit ribosomal RNA
Source: RNAcentral